Molecule: ribosomal RNA, 296 nt
Filed under: uncultured bacterium
Lineage: Bacteria
Description: partial 16S ribosomal RNA
Rfam family: Bacterial small subunit ribosomal RNA
Source: RNAcentral
GGAUUAGAUACCCUGGUAGUCCACGCUGUAAACGGUGGGUACUAGGUGUGGGGUCCAUUCCACGGAUUCUGUGCCGUAGCUAACGCAUUAAGUACCCCGCCUGGGGAGUACGGCCGCAAGGCUAAAACUCAAAGGAAUUGACGGGGCCCCGCACAAGCGGCGGAGCAUGCGGAUUAAUUCGAUGCAACGCGAAGAACCUUACCUGGGUUUGACAUGGAUCGGGAGCUUCCAGAGAUGGUUGUGCCUCUUUUGGGGUCGGUUCACAGGUGGUGCAUGGCUGUCGUCAGCUCGUGCCG